AUGUAUUAGGAUCCAAUUAACUUGAGGAAAACGUUUUCUUUUGCUUAUACAAAACUUGGGUAAGGUCGUGUGUAUGAAAUUAGAACUUGAAAUUGUGGACAUUGGAGGCCUUGGAUUGGUGUCAAUUCUUGGUGAUUUUGUGAAUUGUGGAGCUGUGUAUGUGUGGCUUAAGUGUUGCCUUGGACCAAAUGUGGAAAUCGGCCAAGAUGCAGGUCGAGAGGCUCCUCACUAGGUGUCUGGAUUCCUGAAGCGGAGUGGUCCCUGGGUUCUUUUGAUUAUCAGUUUAUGUACAUAUGUGCUUAGCUUUCUCUCCAAAAAACUUGUUUAUUUUGUCCAUCUUAGAGGUUUAAGGAGAGUUAAGGCCUUAUUUCUGUAUUUUGGGUAUUUUGGGAUACUUGUAUAUGUAUGUAAA
Molecule: long non-coding RNA, 412 nt
Organism: Arachis duranensis
Lineage: Eukaryota; Viridiplantae; Streptophyta; Magnoliopsida; Fabales; Fabaceae
Exons: 3
Source: RefSeq, a predicted model, not a curated record